CAUUUUAGAGGCCCAGAUGGGUGCUGACUGCAGUUCAGGCACGGCCUCCUCUGUCCGCAGCCUCACCUCCCAGCGGGAAGGGAUGAUACCAGUUCUGACCAUCCAGGGCCUUCUAGAACCUCGGCCCGCUGGCAGCUGCAUGGAAUCCAGGAAGAACCAGGAAGGGCCUCCAGGGGCCAGAAGAGACAUCGCCAGCCCUUCCUGCCACUUCCGCCUGCCUGGAUGGCACUUUUUAAAAAAAAUGUCUUAUUUAUUUCUGA
Molecule: long non-coding RNA, 260 nt
Organism: Hyaena hyaena (striped hyena)
Lineage: Eukaryota; Metazoa; Chordata; Mammalia; Carnivora; Hyaenidae
Exons: 2
Source: RefSeq, a predicted model, not a curated record